Molecule: ribosomal RNA, 253 nt
Filed under: uncultured bacterium
Lineage: Bacteria
Description: partial 16S ribosomal RNA
Rfam family: Bacterial small subunit ribosomal RNA
Source: RNAcentral
UACGUAGGGUGCAGGCGUUAAUCGGAAUUACUGGGCGUAAAGCGUGCGCAGGCGGUCUGCUAAGACAGGUGUGAAAUCCCCGGGCUUAACCUGGGAACUGCGCUUGUUACUGGCAGGCUGGAGUGUGGCAGGGGGGGGUGGAAUUCCACGUGUAGCGGUGAAAUGCGUAGAUAUGCGGAGGAACACCGAUGGCGAAGGCAAUCCCCUGGGCCUGCACUGACGCUCAUGCACGAAAGCGUGGGGAGCAAACAGG